AGUAAUUAACAUUUUUAGCGUACCCUUUUUGUUCGCUGUCGGAAAUCUGCCAGAGAAGCGGCAUUUUCAACGAAGUCCUGCCUGAUUUAUCUACCUUAUAUGUUAUACGACCCAAAGCUACAAGAUGUUGGACUUGUCCAAAAUUAAGGAGGACUUCUCGUUUAUGGUGAAGGAAGCCCAACCAUGGACUCUCACUCAAUUUGUAAUGUGGCUAGACCUAAAACUGUCUGAAUACAAAAUUAAAGGAUAUAUGGUCCUGGAUCAUGAAAAGACGACUAAACCACGUUGGUUAAGUCCAGAUGAUGAUAAUGAUGCUGCCGGUGAUAUAGCACCACAGCCCCCUAACUGUCCGAAGUGUAACACAAAUAAUCAGGGACAGACAAGGGCAGAUAACUCCAAUCAAUUACCGCAGAGAAGAAACCAAAACACAUUUCAGAGGCAGCAGCAAAGGAAUAGAAAUACACAUUUCCGACGUCAAGGAAAUGAAUCUUACAUAAAUGAAGUUCUUUGUGUUGGUGACAAUGUACAGAAUUCCAGGACAUCCAUCGACCCCAGUGCACGGGGAAGCAAUAAAGACAUGAUGCCUCAAGUGAUAUCGUUAGAACCUGCCACGGACCUUACGGCAGAGGACAUCAAAGAGAUGGACAAAGUGUUUCAAAGCAAAGACUCGUCCAAUGUUGAUGACGACGUUGUUGAGAUUUCUCACCCUGCCAGCAGGGGAAUUCAGCGUCAUCGUAGACCUCAGGUUUCAUCCACUGUGACUUCAAAACAAGACAUUGGGCGUGGUUUCAUAACAGCGGGAAGCACAGUGGGGUCUUCCUUUUUGCAGGAGGGACAUGAUCAGGAAUCAUUCUCGCGCCCUCCGAGAGAAGAAUCGCCACCCAAAAGGCAGGUAGCCAUGGUCGACUUAUCUCGUGCCUCUGUACCUGAAGAGGAACCGUCGUACGACCCACCACCGACUAGUAUUAGACCUGAAUUAUUGAUGAGUGCUAGAAAUGAACCCACACAAAACAUGUCCCAUAACCAGACAGGACCCGGUAGUGGUUUGUCUGAUCAGCCCAUCUCCAUGUCUUUACCUGUACCUGUAGCACUCCAUGUAGCCAGACCCAGUGACCCGGGUGGGUCAACCCCCAUGGAAACAUCCUCCUCAGUCGAUCCAUCCGCCACCGAAAUCAAACAAGAAGUCAAUGAUAGUUUCGAAGAAUGUUUCCUAACAGGUACAGACGAACAGAACAGUCAGAUGUAUAUGAUGGGCGACAACAGUUUAUCAGACAGCGAAGCAAGUUUUAAUCAAGGACAGGCAUACUCCCCCCAACAGAACCCCGGUACCAGUGGCAUGACUCCUAUGGGUUUUGGUCAAGGUCUUUACACUGUAGGCGAACAGGAAGUUGAUUUACCGAAAUUUGAAGAUCCAUUAGUUCGAAGAGUAUUAGAAGACGGUGCUGCCCCCUCACGACAUAUGUGGUCUAAGAUCAUCACGAGAUGCGCGUAUCAUAUGCUGUCGAAAGGAGUCCCCCACAAACACGAUUACCAACUGUUCAGUAAAGCCUUCUAUCUGCGAUAUCCGUGCAUAGGAACGAAUCGAGGGCCAAAUCCAUGGAGUGUGUUGGCAAAAUCUAUAUCCGCAAGUGUUCGCAACCUUAGGUGGAAAACAAGGAAAUUAGCCAAGCAGAAGAUUUAUUUCUCCGAGAUCGGAACCGUGAAUUCGGACAGUUUGUCUGUAUUAGAGGAAAAGUAGUGUUUUGUGUUUUGGCAUUGGACAUUUCAGUUUGGACGUUUUGGACGUUUGGACGUUUUCAGACUUUGCCAUUGGACUUUUUAGGACUUUGUUUUUUACAAUGAAGGAACUUUUCCAGUUGACAUGCAUACACAUGUAUUUAUGCUUUAGCUGUGAACAUCAUAUCGUAUUGGAGAACUAAAAUAAAGCUUUCUAUACCUGUACAGACCACACUCACCCACUGCCCUGGGGAAGAGACUAGAGGACUCGAGGUUGAUCAGUUGUUAGUUUUUUUGCAAAAACACUCUCUCGAAGUAUCCGCAAUAUUCGCUAUAGCAACAAGAGGAGAUGCAAGAUCAUGGUGCAAAACG
RNAcentral lists this unclassified non-coding RNA (2088 nucleotides) under Mizuhopecten yessoensis (Yesso scallop). RNAcentral's name for it is "uncharacterized LOC110460779, transcript variant X20". The record is from RNAcentral. Lineage: Eukaryota; Metazoa; Mollusca; Bivalvia; Pectinida; Pectinidae.